RNAcentral lists this ribosomal RNA (406 nucleotides) under uncultured bacterium. RNAcentral's name for it is "bacterial SSU rRNA". It matches the Rfam family "Bacterial small subunit ribosomal RNA", at positions 355 to 775 of the family's 1533-position model. The record is from RNAcentral.
UGGGGAAUAUUGGGCAAUGGGCGAAAGCCUGACCCAGCGACGCCGCGUGGGGGAAGAAGUCCCUCGGGAUGUAAACCCUUGUUGUACGGGACGAAGGAAGUGACGGUACCGUACGAGGAAGCCCCGGCAAACUACGUGCCAGCAGCCGCGGUAAUGCGUAGGGGGCGAGCGUUGUCCGGAAUCACUGGGCGUAAAGCGCACGUAGGCGGGCUGUUAAGUCGGCCGUGAAAGGCACUGGCUCAACCGGUGUUUGUCGGUCGAUACUGGCAGUCUGGAGUAUGGGAGAGGGAGCUGGGAUUCCCGGGGUAGCGGUGAAAUGCGUAGAUAUCGGGAGGAAGACCAGUGGCGAAGGCGGGGUCCUGGCGCAUGACUGACGCUGAGGUGCGAAAGCCGGGGGAGCGAACGG